Long non-coding RNA from Peromyscus californicus insignis, 1021 nucleotides. RefSeq lists it as uncharacterized. Lineage: Eukaryota; Metazoa; Chordata; Mammalia; Rodentia; Cricetidae. The transcript is spliced from 2 exons. The record is from RefSeq and is a predicted model, not a curated record.
UCGGGGCCCCCGACCUUGGAUCCCAGAUCAACUCCACUCAGGAGUGUUGCUGGACUCCACCAGUAUUCCCCUCUGGAAGUGGCCAGGGAAGCCACAGGGUCCUGCUGACCUCAUCACCAACUAAUCGAGUGACUUUGAGUCUGCCACAGAAGACUCUCUCGAACCCGGAGCUCUCUCGGGAUUAAGCAGGGAACCAAGUCUUAGGGGCUGGCCACUUCUGGAAGUCUCUAGAAUCAUGCAUAUUAGCUUCAGCUGGACUUCAGAGACCAUCUAAUUCCAUAUCAUUCACUUGCCCUGGAGAAACUGAGGCAGAAGAAAGCCAUUUGCCCUGGUUCCCCCGACUUCAGGUGGGAAUUAUUUGGGGAGAAAAGAAAGAGUUUGGAGAAUUUGACUCAUGACUCCUGCGUGUUAGGGUGUAAAUUGGGUCAGCCGCUCCCCAGGUCUCACGACCUUCCUCUUCUGACACUCGCCUCGUUCCCAGCCCCCGUGGUGCCAGCCUCGACUGCCGUUUCUGCGUUGAACAUGGAGGUACUUCCUCCUCUAGAUACCGUCUACCCCGGCCACUUCUGGAAUAAUGGGAUAUCGUGAAACCGAAGCACCAGCAUGAGGCAGACAGCAGAGUUGGGAUUGGAGCCGAGGAUCAAGGACCACCUAAGGGGGAGCUUGUGGGUCAUUUCGUAGACAAGGAAACUGGGCCCCACCAGGUGCGCUGCCCUCCCCAGGCUGAGACUGGUUUUACACACGUAUGUUCAAGCAUUAAGUGUUUGCCUCUUAUUAUUAUUUUUUGUUUGUUUGUUUGUUUAGAAGAGAUCUGACUCUGUAUCCUAGGCUCUCACCUUGUACUCCUGGUGCUCCUUCGUCAGUUUCCCUCCUGAGAUAUGACAUUCUAAGCAUAUACUACCACAUUCAACAAUGAUUUUGCCUAUAGCACCUGCUGCGAACCAGCUCUCUGUUAAAAGCUUUUCGGUGUCUCUGUACAUGUGAACUGAAGAGAUAUAGAAUAUAUGCACAUAUUUUUAAA